UAUGGUUUAGUAUUUAAUGUUUGUGUUUUGGUAUUUUUGGCUUAUGGUUUGGGUUUUAUGGUUUAGGGUUAGGGUUAAGGUUUGGGCUUUUGUUUUAUUUAGGUUUUUAGGUUUUGGGUUUAGGAUAUCAUGUUUAAUAUCAAUGGCUUACUGUUUAAUAUUUUGAUUUUUGUAUUUAGGGCCUGCCACUAAAUUUUCUUUUGCAACUAACAUAUCUAUAAUAACUUAAGUGGGAUAAUUACACAAGUAUAGAGAAGUUAACAUAUGAUGAAGUGGUUCUAUGUACUUUGGAUAGGGGAGGGAUGCAAUUAGCUAUUUGGAGUCAAUACACUGCUAUUGUUUUAUGUUACUAGAAAUAGAACAUAGGAGACUCACUUCAUUGUUAAUAAUUAUUGGUGCCAGAUUUCAUGCAAAGGAAUUUGGAAUCAAAUAGCCUUAGAUACCUUUUUUUUUACCAAUACCAAUAUUACGAUUCAGCCUUCCUUUUUGUGUGCUAAUCUACAACAUAUGUCAUGAUUAAGCUAAGGUCAACAUCUUAUCGAAUAAUGCCCCUCUACAAUAGUAGCUAAAAUCAUUAUCGGAAAGUAGGCCCAUACAAACCUUACACAAAUUGUGAACCAGCACACCCUUCCUCUACACAUUAAUAAAACUUCAUACAUCCACUCCCAAGAUAUCCAAGUUGCCCUUAACAUAAGGCAGCCACUAUCAAUCUCAAAUCUUUAAGCAUAAUAGGAGAAUAUUGACUCAAAGAUUUAUCACAAUCCAUGAAUUCUUGAUAAAUAUAUACAAAAUUCUCCUCUCCAAACAUGUAUUCAAAGAGAUGAAAACAAAUGGGUUGUAGUCUUACUUUAAUUCUGGAAUUUUAUGAUUAAUGUUGGUUUAAUCUAGCUUGGAAGGUGAUGCAAUGUUUUGUACAUUUCAACAUGUGUAUCGCAAGUUAACUUUGAUGAAAAGUAUUUAAAUAAAUAUAUUAAGGUGUUAAUUGAUCUUAAAAUUAAAAGUUAAGUGCUAAGUUUAAGAAAAGUGAAAAACAUUCAAAAAUUGAAAUAAAAUAACUAAGUUGCUUGCUUGGCUUAAUUGAGCUAGCAGCUGUAUCAUUUACUUGAGCUAUAAUACUGUAAGCGGCCCAAAUUUGAUGGGCCAGAUUCAGGCUUAUAUUAAUGGGCACACUUCAAGCCCAAACCUAUUAAAAAAGGAAUGAAAGCCCAGCAACUAAAUCUGCCAGAUUGGCACGUUAUGGAUCAAGCCCAUGUGAAACUAAGUAGGUGCAUCACAUACAAUGACUUUUUUUUAUCAUGUAAUUGGGCCAAGUUUGUAACAGCUACUUGCAUUAAUCUGUCCCAUGUUGAAUAAAAUAACAAAGCAAAAAUGGACAGACAAGGCCCAAUAAUCUUAUGUCCAAAGAAGCCCAAGUUGAAAGGCCAAAUAUGUGGGUCACCUACUUGACAAUAUAUGGCCCUAAAUUGGCAAAGAACGUCCGCCAUCGAGCCUUCCUUUUAAAAAAAUAAAUAUCAAGUCUUUUUCUUCAUUUUAAACUUGCAAAAUUUUCAAACUACUUUAUUUUCUUUGUUAGUGUCUCUAGGCUUCAACAAGAAGCCCUAAAACACAUUAGGGGUCUUGAGUAUUGUAUAACUUUCAAGUAAAAGUUUGAAGGAGUGUUUGAAUUCUUGAAGUACAAGUUCAACGGAUAAAUUAAAAGAAUUAAAGGUACAGGUGGACUCUAGAGCAACAUGAUCGACGAUGUAGACAUCCGGACGUCACUCAUUCAUUUGGAGAUGAUGGAGCUAUUUCCUACAAGUCACGCUUUCCCUUUCCUUUCUCGAGCUGAAGAACUCACAAUUUCUUUUAUCCAAGCUGAAGAUCGAGCUGAAGAUCGAGCUGCAAAACUCAUCGAGUUGACCGAGCUUUCUCUUCUCCGAGCUGAAGAUUUUGUCAAGUUUAUGCUGAAGAACUGGGAUCGAAGAAAUAAAAAUUGAAGAGCUGAAGGACAGAAGCUGAAGAACUGAUUUCAUCAAGUUAGUACAAAUUUAGACUUACUUUCGAAACUGAAAUAGAGGUGUUAGGUAGUAUUGUGAGAAAUGUGUGUUAAGGUGCCCCUGUUUAAUUGCCACUGUCUUCCCUAGUUGUUGACCCUGUUGGUGUUUAGAUUGUUUUUGCUGAAUUUUAUUGUUCGUUGGGCCUCUAUGGUCAGGGUUAAGGUCUGAUUGUACCCCCUCAUGAAAAACAUGAGGCAAAUUCCCUCCUCUUGUAGCCCCUUUCUGCAGAAGUGAGGUUGUAUUAACAACCCCAAUCCAUCCCUCCUUCAACUUCAACAAUCUUAGUAGAAGUUUUAGACAAAUUAUUUGAGUAAUGAUUCAUAGUUAUGAUACCUGAUAUUUUGCUAUUGACAUCCCCUCCUUGUUGCAUUUUUUGUUUUACUUUAUCAGUUUCAUGCUCAUACCUGUUACAUUAAGCAUUUUGGUAACUCAAUUUUAUACUUCACCCUGUUCAAAUUGGUCUCAGUUUUACAUUAAGCUUUCAUUGCCUAGUGCAUUUUCAAGUAUAGAUAGUAACAUUAGCUAAUUUACUCAUUAUGGCCAUAAGUAUAUAAUGUAACUCUAUUUGCUGGAAAUCUUUCAAAACGCGGCUUGGUCAACGGACCUUGCGACGGGAUGUCGUGGUAACGAUGAGCCAUCAUGGACCUCGCGACGGGCCACCGUGGACCUUGCAAUGGGUCGUCGUAGUCAUGAUGGGUCGUCAUCAUGACGGGCCAUCGUUGUCAUGAUGGGCCGUCGUGGUCAUGACGGGCCGUCGUGGUCAUGACAGGCCAUCGUAGUCAUUCGUCGUGGACUCCGUCGUCCUAUACUUGCAAGUUUCUUCUACUACUUCUUUGAUCCUCAUGACGAACAUGCAGGACGGACCGUCAUGGAUAUGAUGGUUCAUUACAGCUAAAAUUUCAAAUUGAUUAAUUGUUAAAUUAAUUAAUUUUGUGUUCUUUGUUGAUGGAACAGAUUUGUUUACUAGAGGAAUUGAUAUUCAAGCAGUUAACAUUGUUAUCAAUUUUAAUUUUCCUAAGAACUUAGAAAUGUAUUUGCACAUGGUAUGUAUAACAGAUCUUUGAUCUUGCGUAUUGACUUAUAUAUUGUUUUUGCUAUUUCAUCAUUGGUAAUCUAUUGUUAGUGGCUUUGGUUUUAACUGAGCUAAGGUUUUGUUUCUCUUGACCACUAUUCAUCUUGCUUGUUUGGUAUGGUUGAAAUGUAGUUUUUCUAUGUAAGAUUUAGUUUCCUUGUUUGAUCGUGUGGAACAUAUUAACUACACAAGGAAAAUAAUCUAAUUUUCUUUAAUUUUUGCUGCUGCUGUAAUCUACAAUCUUGACUUGUCUCUCUUUAGUUGUUGUUAAUGUAUUUGGUUUAAAUUGAGCUAAGGUCUUGCUUCUUUUGUUUCACUGUUUUUUGGCAUUUGUAUAGAACAUUGUCAUGGUAUGGAAUCUGUAAUCUUCAGAUUUGUUAUCAAUGUUUUCUGUAACUGCUGCUUCUAUAUAUAAAUAUUUCUAUCAGUAAUGUCUAUUUUCUUUCUUAUUAUAUAGAAUAUCCAUGUUAUAACCAUAACUUUUGACAUCCUAGUAGAAGACAUGCUUCCAUAACUACAAACAAAUAAACAAAUAAUUAUUAGGAGAAUCUAAUUGCAUGUGUCUCCUCAUUAAUUCCUUUUUUCUUUAGUGUUAGUGUUAGUUUGCGUGCAUCAUGGUUAUUGUAUAACACCAAAUAUUUUAUAUUGUUUCUUAUGAAGUUUGAACCCUAAUGCAAUUAUUCAUUGUUGUUGAACUCAUUUGGAAUUCUAGACACCUAAGGGAAGAUCAUCUACUUUGAACAUCAAAAGACAAGUAGGCAUCUACUUUGAACUUCAAAAGAUGCAGUCUAAUUCUCUGUAACUACUGGGUUUCUUGCCUCUCUAUAUUGUUGCAAUCUGAACUUCUUACCUCUUCUAUAUAACUGACAAU
Molecule: non-coding RNA, 3979 nt
Organism: Solanum lycopersicum (tomato)
Lineage: Eukaryota; Viridiplantae; Streptophyta; Magnoliopsida; Solanales; Solanaceae
Source: RefSeq, a predicted model, not a curated record